Molecule: ribosomal RNA, 253 nt
Filed under: uncultured bacterium
Lineage: Bacteria
Description: partial 16S ribosomal RNA
Rfam family: Bacterial small subunit ribosomal RNA
Source: RNAcentral
UACAGAGGGUGCAAGCGUUGUUCGGAAUCAUUGGGCGUAAAGGGCGCGUAGGCGGCCGAUCAAGUCAGGCGUGAAAUUCCCGGGCUCAACCUGGGGGCUGCGCUUGAUACUGAUUGGCUUGAAUGCGGGAGAGGAUAGUGGAAUUCCCAGUGUAGAGGUGAAAUUCGUAGAUAUUGGGAAGAACACCGGUGGCGAAGGCGGCUAUCUGGCCCGUAAUUGACGCUGAGGCGCGAAAGCGUGGGGAGCAAACAGG